RNAcentral lists this ribosomal RNA (465 nucleotides) under uncultured bacterium. RNAcentral's name for it is "partial 16S ribosomal RNA". It matches the Rfam family "Bacterial small subunit ribosomal RNA", at positions 338 to 795 of the family's 1533-position model. The record is from RNAcentral.
CCUACGGGUGGCAGCAGUGGGGAAUAUUGCGCAAUGGGCGAAAGCCUGACGCCGCGCCGCCUCGUGAGGGAUGAAGGUCUUCGGAUCGUAAACCUCUGUCAGCAGGGAAGAACGGUCACUGUGCUAAUCAGCAGUGAAUUGACGGUACCUGCAAAGGAAGCACCGGCUAACUCCGUGCCAGCAGCCGCGGUAAUACGGAGGGUGCGAGCGUUAAUCGGAAUUACUGGGCGUAAAGCGCUCGUAGGCGGUAUGUCAAGUCAAGGGGGAAAUCCCCGCGCUCAACGUGGGAACUGCCUUUGAAACUGGCAAACUGGAGUGUGUGAGAGGAUAGUGGAAUUCCAGGUGUAGGAGUGAAAUCCGUAGAUAUCUGGAGGAACAUCAGUGGCGAAGGCGACUAUCUGGCACAUAACUGACGCUGAGGAGCGAAAGCGUGGGUAGCGAACAGGAUUAGAUACCCCUGUAGUC